UUUGUCCUUUUGUGCAUCCAUGUCAUCCUCUUUUGCUCUACUGCCCGUGCUUUAAAUUUAUCGAUGCCUUCCCGAUUUGUUAUUAUGGCUGGGCUGUAGGUCCUCUCUUCAAUUCUCUUCGUCUCCUUCAAUUCCACCCACACAAACCGAUCAAAAGCCACUGAUGAUUGUUUCCGUCUCCCUCUUCGACGUCUUCAUCUUUUUUAUUGAAGCAAACAUUAUGUCGUUCCCUAUCCUGAUGGUUCCUUCCAUCUUCCGUGAAGCAAUAUGUCUCCACUAAAUUGGCCUUCAAGUCUUGAAAUCAAAACUCCCUUCACAUCCUCAUCCCGCUGUACUUAUAUACUGCUAUAUGACGACGACGACUUAUGUAGUCUGCUUCAAACCCGGCCUCUCCCCUCCAUAGAUCGAGAUGUGGCAGUGUCUUGAGGGAAUCGGCUGGCCGAGGCAGUUCCCUCACCUCACAUAGCGCGUGCUCUUCCUCCUUCCUCUCUUGAGACUUGCGGCGACUACACAAUAGCAGAUGGAGAGCGGCAGGACCGGAUCCAGGUGAGUCCCCAACUAUAAGUCACGCUCGUCGGGGGAUCGAUCCAUGCCUAUCCAUUCCGUCCACCCGUCGAUCGAUCUGACGCAAUCGAUUCAUAGUAUUUUUCUUGAAUUUCGUGGUCCAUGGAGUCCCGGGCCAUUAGUCCCGGCGAGACGACGCUGUCAUACAUGUAUGCGUCGUGGCCCCGUCCAACGCUGUGAAGGAGCUGCGGAGCGGAGGUGGGGCGCGGUGGCGCGCGUGUGUCGGCGUGCUAGCCGCGUCGGCCGUGGUAUUGCUGAUGGUGGGCGGCGAUGUGGCGGCGGACAUGCCGCGGCUAACGGAGACGCCGUGGAGUCUUGGAAGGAAAGCUGGCGUGUCGGAGAAGACCUCCUCGGCUGCGGAUGAGAUGGGGUUCCUCGGUGCGGGCGCCGACGCUGGCAGGUUCUCCUAGAGCAAAGCCAUGCUCCGGGUUCCCCUGGAGCAAAGCCAUUCUCCAGUGGCAGCGCACCUGCUUCCAUUUUCAGCCCGAGAAAAACUGGAUAAACUUUACGUGCAUGAUCCAUCCAUUUCUAGCCAUUAAUCCCUUGCUUUUGAUUGCAGGGCACUGUACUGACUUUUCUCCUUUGAUUAUAGGUGCACGAAAGUGAGGCCAUGACCAGGAGCUAGGUGGCGGUGGACUGGAGAUUUUCUCUCUGUUAAUACUGCCUCCCUCUCUCUCUCCAUAAAUAUCCAUGUCUUCUCUAUGUUCGCUUUCUCUCUGUUAAUUCUCUAGGAAGGAUCAACAGAUUAUGAAUCACAGACUCUGAAUGGUGCGACGGGUUCAGUGGGCAUGUGCGACUAUAUCCUACACCUUCGUCUAAUCUAUGUAAUUGAGCUAUUUUUGGCACUCUCAAGCGAUUGUUAUGAACUAGUUGAAUAAUAACAAACUAUGGCAAAAUAUUUCAGUACUGAAUAGCAGUAGAAAGUUU
RNAcentral lists this long non-coding RNA (1491 nucleotides) under Triticum aestivum (bread wheat). RNAcentral's name for it is "long non-coding RNA (TAES_LNC025675)". The record is from RNAcentral. Lineage: Eukaryota; Viridiplantae; Streptophyta; Magnoliopsida; Poales; Poaceae.